RNAcentral lists this ribosomal RNA (255 nucleotides) under uncultured bacterium. RNAcentral's name for it is "partial 16S ribosomal RNA". It matches the Rfam family "Bacterial small subunit ribosomal RNA", at positions 524 to 776 of the family's 1533-position model. The record is from RNAcentral.
UACGAAGGGUGCAAGCGUUACUCGGAAUUACUGGGCGUAAAGCGUGCGUAGGUGGUUCGUUAAGUCUGUCGUGAAAGCCCCGGGCUCAACCUGGGAAUGGCGAUGGAUACUGGCGGGCUAGAGUGCGGUAGAGGAGAGUGGAAUUCCCCGGUGUAGCAGUGAAAUGCGUAGAGAUCGGGAGGAACAUCAGUUGCGAAGGCGGCUCUCUGGACCAGCACUGACACUGAGGCACGAAAGCGUGGGGGAGCAAACAGG